GAUUAACGCUGGCGGCGUGCAUAACACAUGCAAGUCGAACGAUGAAACUUAGUAGACUUCUUCGGAAAGACACUAAGCGGAUUAGUGGCGAACGGGUGAGUAACGCGUGAGUAACCUGCCUUACACAAGGGGAUAGCCUUUGGAUACGACGAAUAAUACCCUAUAAAACCAUAAAAGCACAUGCUAGAAUGGUCAAAGUGAUAGCGGUGUAAGAUGGACUUGCGUCUGAUUAGCUAGUUGGUGAGAUAAAAGCUCACCAAGGCAACGAUCAGUAGCCGGCUUGAGAGAGUGUACGGCCACAUUGGGACUGAGACACGGCCCAGACUCCGACGGGAGGCAGCAGUGGGGAAUUUUGCACAAUGGGGGAAACACUGAUGCAGCGACGCCGCGUGAUUUAGAAGGCCUUCGGGUUGUAAAAAUCGUUUGUAUAGGAAGAAAAUGACAGUACUAUACGAAUAAGGUCCGGCUAAUUACGUG
Molecule: ribosomal RNA, 477 nt
Filed under: uncultured bacterium
Lineage: Bacteria
Description: partial 16S ribosomal RNA
Rfam family: Bacterial small subunit ribosomal RNA
Source: RNAcentral